Cotesia glomerata is the source of this 228-nucleotide long non-coding RNA. RefSeq lists it as uncharacterized. Lineage: Eukaryota; Metazoa; Arthropoda; Insecta; Hymenoptera; Braconidae. The record is from RefSeq and is a predicted model, not a curated record. The transcript is spliced from 3 exons.
UAGUUGUCAUGGUACAAUAUUGUCAAAAAAUUAGAGAUUAUACACGCCGCAAAAGUAUAUGAGCUUGUAGCUAAGUAAUCCAUAAUUUUUACGCAAGACUGUACCCGUGGAGAUGCAACCCAUAUAAUUGUUUCUGUCCGACUCCGUAGAUAUAUACUUUUUCAUAAAUUGUUAAACUUUAAUCUGUUAUUUAUAAAUAACUACAUGGUCAAAAUUAAAAUAAAAUUU